CCAAGAGAACACAGGAUCGUUGUCCCUUUUUUCAGGAUUUUCAAUUUUCAGUUAAAAUUUCAUUUCUAGCAUUUGCUUGUCAUCCUCGCUCUCACUGGAGGCAACAUGCUGAUUACACACACCAAAAUCAUUCCUUUCCCACCACCAAAACGCUGUGCUGUGUGUGGUGGGAUCUCACAGUUAUUUCACAGUGCUGAGCUGCAGUUUGCUGUUUUAGGAUGGGGAGUGAAGAUGAAUACCCUCUCCUGUUAAAGCUGUAGGGUGGUGGGAUGACAUCAAUGAGAAGUGAACACCUGGAAUGCUCCUUAGUCAGGAACAUGUGCUUUAGAAGGACUCCUCUGACAUCUUUGCCAAUAAAGAUGUUACCUUGUAGGUAUGUUCACUGUAGCAUCUAUUUCCUUCUUACCUUCAUCUCCAUUAUUUCGCUAAGACCACAUUUAUAUUCUGAGAGCUUUCAGUGUUAACAUUGGUCAAGAUCAAUGUUAAGUUCAACUGCCUCAUGUAUUACAGCUUAUUUUAGGGACUUGCUUUAGAAGCCAACCCUGUUAAUUCUUUUGAAUGUGAAUCUUGAAUUUAAGAGCUAUGCUUUCGUGGUGAUGUAACAUUUUCUUUUGUUUAACAUUUUUCUUUGUAUGUAUUUUUCCCCCACAAACGUUUUGUGGAAUGCACAAGAACAAGGCCCUCUCCGGCCUAUUUUGAGAGAAGCAUCUGUGAAAAGUGGAGUGGACAUUCUUAAAAAACUGAAAACUCUUACAAAGUUGUAAAAAGUUUAGUGCAAAUCGCUCUCACUUCAAAUCUGUCCACCUACCUGAAUCUCAUCUUCCCUGUUCUUUGGAAAAUGCAGAGGAGGAACAAAUCUCACUUUGAUGAAAUUGCUUCAUCUUGUUCCUUAACCACCUGAAUAACUCAAUAUGCUAAAAUUAUGCUUGGGAAACAUUAAAGAAGAAACAGAAGAAGAAUUCAAGAAGUUGACAGUGAUUUGUGUUGCUUUAUGCAUUUCUGCAUAGAACUUGAAUUAUUGAUUAGCUGUUAUUUCAGUAAUUGAUUUUUUUGCAAAUUUUCACUGCCCUUAUAGAAACCUGCAAGAAUGAAAAUGUUAAUUUGUAUUGUUGAAAUGAUCUAGUGUGUCUUUAAUGGCUUUUAUGAGGUGAUCCUGCCCUUCUAUGGCACCGCUGAUCUGUCAAAAUUCAGUGCAGUUGAUUUAAUUUAUACUGAUAUGUGUGAGAGAAGAUGGGGCCUUUCAUUGCUUUGAUACAUUUCUCUUCCUCCAAGCAAUAACUGUUGUGCAUUUGGAAAGAUAUAUUUCUUGUGCGUUUAAACGUGGAAGGAUUAUUGGAGUGUUGUAUAAAGCCUUUGUCAUGGACGUGAAAUUUCACGCAGCGGUAGGUUCAGCUGAGUGGCUCUUAAAUCAUGUAGCAGUUCUCAGAUUAAAGACAAUCCCAAAGUAUGAAGUAUAGGUAAUCACAUUACUUUAAAUAAUUUCUGUUUGUAAUAUUUCUGGUAAUUUCUGUUAUAGAAGAGGAAUUAAAUUUGGAUAAUAAUAAGUGUCAGAUUAUCAAAGACAAAUUAGUCUGUUUCAGAAGCAUCAAAACAGCUCUACUGGGCCAGAGAAAAGACCUUCUCUGAGUCAGACCAGAGCUCAAUCCUUUACUCUCUUUUUCCAAAGCAUCUGCUACUGGCUGGUGUAGAGCAGCAGCAGCAGAGGCAGUAUUCCUUCCCAGCUUCUGGCAGCUGGUCUUUGGUUACUGCUUGAGCCAGAGGUUCUCUCUGCAUCAUUGUAUUUAAUAGCCCACGAUGGACCUUUCUUCCAUGAAUUUCUCUAAUUGCUUUUCUUUUAAUGGAGUUAUGCUUUUAGUUUUCAUAACAUCCUGUGGCAAUAAGUUCCACAACUUAAUUAUGUAGUGUAUAAUAAAAAAAAUAAAAUUGACCCCUCUUGUUUUAAGCAAACUGUCCAACCAUUUCAUUUGGUGCCCCCUAUUUCUGGCAUCAUGAGAACAGUUGUUCCCGCUCUGUGCUAUUCUUGAUACCAGACCAUAAUCAUGUCCUUCUUCACAGUGAUCUCUCUUGCAGGCUGCAAAGUCCUCGUCUGGAUAAUCUCUUCCUGUAAAGAAACUCUUUUGAAUCUCUGCUAUUUAUGUCUUCCUUCUCCCUGUCGUUUUCUAAUUAUCCCAAAUCCAUUUCAGAACUAUGUGCAGUAUUGAAGAUGUGGGCAAAAUUCAGUUUGUACGCAGAGAGAUGAUGUUCCUAUUUCUUUUGUAAUCAUCCCUGACAUUGUUUUCCUUUACCAUCCCCAAGCAUUCAAGUUGGUGCUUUCAGAGAGCUCCACGUUGUUGUUUCAAGAUCUCUCUCUCCGGAGUAAUAACAGGGCAUCUUGGACCACAGGCAACAUGGAGAGGAUUGAAAUAGAAGAUAUUAUAUAGAUAUAAUAGAUUAAUUAUUAAUUAUAUAUUAAAAUCAGAAUUUGAACAUAA
This is a long non-coding RNA of Pseudopipra pipra, 2471 nucleotides long. RefSeq lists it as uncharacterized. Lineage: Eukaryota; Metazoa; Chordata; Aves; Passeriformes; Pipridae. The transcript is spliced from 2 exons. The record is from RefSeq and is a predicted model, not a curated record.